UGGAAGUAAAAAUCGUAACAAGGUUUCCGUAGGUGAACCUGCGGAAGGAUCAUUACAGUAUUCUUUUGCCAGCGCUUAACUGCGCGGCGAAAAACCUUACACACAGUGUCUUUUUGAUACAGAACUCUUGCUUUGGUUUGGCCUAGAGAUAGGUUGGGCCAGAGGUUUAACAAAACACAAUUUAAUUAUUUUUACAGUUAGUCAACUUUUGAAUUAAUCUUCAAAACUUUCAACAACGGAUCUCUUGGUUCUCGCAUCGAUGAAGAACGCAGCGAAAUGCGAUAAGUAAUAUGAAUUGCAGAUUUUCGUGAAUCAUCGAAUCUUUGAACGCACAUUGCGCCCUCUGGUAUUCCAGAGGGCAUGCCUGUUUGAGCGUCAUUUCUCUCUCAAACCCCCGGGUUUGGUAUUGAGUGAUACUCUUAGUCGGACUAGGCGUUUGCUUGAAAAGUAUUGGCAUGGGUAGUACUGGAUAGUGCUGUCGACCUCUCAAUGUAUUAGGUUUAUCCAACUCGUUGAAUGGUGUGGCGGGAUAUUUCUGGUAUUGUUGGCCCGGCCUUACAACAACCAAACAAGUUUGACCUCAAAUCAGGUAGGAAUACCCGCUGAACUUAAGCAUAUCAAUAAAGCGGAGGAA
Molecule: ribosomal RNA, 634 nt
Filed under: Meyerozyma guilliermondii
Lineage: Eukaryota; Fungi; Ascomycota; Pichiomycetes; Serinales; Debaryomycetaceae
Description: eukaryotic LSU rRNA
Rfam family: 5.8S ribosomal RNA (bases 225-378)
Source: RNAcentral